Long non-coding RNA from Oenanthe melanoleuca, 957 nucleotides. RefSeq lists it as uncharacterized. NCBI's taxonomy places the organism in Eukaryota, Metazoa, Chordata, Aves, Passeriformes, Muscicapidae. The transcript has 5 exons. The record is from RefSeq and is a predicted model, not a curated record.
GUCGCGGCUGUGGCGGGCGCGGGGCCGCCGCCAUUUUGUGCAGCGGGCGGCGAGGCGCCCGCGCGCCAGCGGGGAGCGGCGCCAUUUCCUGCCCUCCCCCGGCGGGCCGGCGGCGCCUGAGGCGGCGGGGACGGGAGGGCACGGGCAGCGGCGGGCGGCAGGCCCCGGGGAGCGGGUCCGGCUCGGCCGGGGCCAGCCGCGCUCCCCUGGGCCCCGCGGGGCCGCAUGGCCGGGCCGGCGACACCGAGCGCUCUGCCCUUCCUUUCCCGGCCUCCUGCCGCAUGAUCUCCGGCUGCCAUUCCAGCCCGGCUCUGGGGGAGAAGGACGCUGUGUUAAAGCUCUUCCUGGGAGUGCUUAUCUGUUAGCACAAACAGUUUGCUAUGAAAAGCAGAAAUACACAACCAGUGACGAGCCAUUUAAGAUAAAGAAUCCUUGUCUAUCCCAGGUGGACCACAUCACAUCUCAGGAAAUAAUUUAUCAGCCACUUAAUGUGUUUGUCAUACCUGGAGUUCAUCUACCUUCAGAACCAAGAUGCUCCUGAGGUGGCACUCUUGCAGACUCAUGAAAACAUAAGUUUUGCAGUGUCUAAAUUAUGGAGCCAAAGCAUGCAGGAACUCUCUGCAAGUGUUCCAGGCAGACCUCAUCAAAUCAGAUGUGUGUUUCCAGCUGAGCAGAGUUCCACCUGCUACAGACACAUUGCUUCUACUAUUUGAACAAGAAGCUGGAUUCUUACGGGAAAUGCUGUGGCAACAUUUCUGCUCUAUUACAGCAUGCAUUGCAUUAAAAAACUGACCCACUCUGUUACAACGUGGCUACAGGACAAGUACUUCAUACUGCUUUCUGUUUUAAUAUCUUUUUGGCCAAAAGGACAUUUUUUCAGGUAACAAUGCCAGGAACACUGACUACGAAAGACUUACAGUGUUCUUAGACCAUAUACACCAGCUUUAAAGCAAUUUU